This is a long non-coding RNA of Zonotrichia leucophrys gambelii, 734 nucleotides long. RefSeq lists it as uncharacterized. NCBI's taxonomy places the organism in Eukaryota, Metazoa, Chordata, Aves, Passeriformes, Passerellidae. The transcript has 3 exons. The record is from RefSeq and is a predicted model, not a curated record.
UUCCAGCACUGCUAAAUCUCUCAGGUGCUGGAUUCCUUCAUCUGCAGUGGUCUGCUUUCCUGGGGACUCCACAAGAUCUUCCUUAAAUGAACAUCUUGCCCAGCACAGCAAGGCCAUCAGUGCCAGGGUGAAGCACAGAGCCACUGGCUGUGUUUUGUCUGGACAGUUCCCAGGAAGCAAGGCUUCAGCUCCCACAGCAGUGGCUCCAGAAGCGAAAUGUUGUAAACAAAGAACGCCCUCACUUCCAACUCCUUUUGGCUUUUGUGUCCGAGCUGAUGAUACAUGGUCAAUGUGGGUCCACUGUCCUAUUAGCGUCCCCUGCUGUGAUCCUGCCAAGUGCCAGCCUGCUGCCUCAGGCUGGGGUGCUGAGAGACAGCGCUGGUGCUGAGCCAGCCCUGCUCUGCAGCAGCCACAACUCUGGGCUGUUACCAACUCCCUUCCGGCUCCUGGGGCAAAGCACAGCCCUGGGAGGGCUGCCUGGGGAAAAUGAGCUCCAGCUCAGCCAGACCCAAUAUAAUCAUCUGGAUGAUUCAUCUGGGAUUCUCAGCAUAGGGAGAACAUUAGGACCAUUGAGAGAAGGAAAGCUGAAUUGCUCUGAAUGACUGACACAGGCUUUAUUCUGCUAUGGCUGCUGUGGAGGAUGCUGGAUCAGAAAAGUGGUGUGUCGGGUACCAGCAGCAAGUUUUGGGAACCAUCCAAGCCCUAUUUGAGGACCUGGAAUAUAAUGGAUUAUU